This 253-nucleotide ribosomal RNA is filed under the name uncultured bacterium. RNAcentral's name for it is "partial 16S ribosomal RNA". It matches the Rfam family "Bacterial small subunit ribosomal RNA", at positions 524 to 776 of the family's 1533-position model. The record is from RNAcentral.
UACGGGGGGGGCAAGCGUUGUUCGGAAUUACUGGGCGUAAAGGGCUCGUAGGCGGCCAACUAAGUCAGACGUGAAAUCCCUCGGCUUAACCGGGGAACUGCGUCUGAUACUGGAUGGCUGGAGUUUGGGAGAGGGAUGCGGAAUUCCAGGUGUAGCGGUGAAAUGCGUAGAUAUCUGGAGGAACACCGGUGGCGAAGGCGGCAUCCUGGACCAACACUGACACUGAGGAGCGAAAGCCAGGGGAGCAAACGGG